CCAGGAAGCUCCAGGUCGUACUCCGAAGGAACCCCGUACCAAGCCCUUAUCAGAAGGAGUUCAUCCAGAGUCGACGAACAUGGAAUGGCGCCCGGUGCAAAAACCGGGCGAGGCCCUGCCCCAGACGCGGGUUUGUCCGCAGAGACAGGGACCUGGGGGCUCGAAGCAGAAGAACUCUCAGAACUGACGGGGGCAGAAGAGUCAGAAGAUAUUUUGAGCAGUUUUGGAGGGAGAACCUAAAGGAUCCUAGAAAGGCAGACCGAAAGGGGAAUGAGACGCCGAAGGCCAACUCAGAAGAAGACACAAAAGUAAUGAAAAGAGGAGAAGCCCCUAGGCGGUAAGAAGAAGGUUGGCACUAACCUAUAUUGCUCUGGGGACCUGGGGAGCGAGAAACGGGAGGCGCCUACAGCUCGAGAAGACGUUCACUAGAGCAGGCUCUCGAAGAGAAGACAGAUGCCAGCAAAAAAUCAGAAAUGGAGUAGGACGCCUGAAGGGGGGAGGACGGGUUUAAAUAGACCCUGGGAUCCGACGCCAUAA
This 537-nucleotide long non-coding RNA is filed under the name Elaeis guineensis (African oil palm). Its description in RNAcentral is "long non-coding RNA (EGUI_LNC070198)". Lineage: Eukaryota; Viridiplantae; Streptophyta; Magnoliopsida; Arecales; Arecaceae. The record is from RNAcentral.